RNAcentral lists this ribosomal RNA (553 nucleotides) under uncultured bacterium. Its description in RNAcentral is "bacterial SSU rRNA". It matches the Rfam family "Bacterial small subunit ribosomal RNA", at positions 28 to 576 of the family's 1533-position model. The record is from RNAcentral.
AUUGAACGCUGGCGGCAGGCCUAACACAUGCAAGUCGAGCGGAUGAAGGGAGCUUGCUCCCUGAUUUAGCGGCGGACGGGUGAGUAAUGCCUAGGAAUCUGCCUGGUAGUGGGGGAUAACGUUCCGAAAGGAACGCUAAUACCGCAUACGUCCUACGGGAGAAAGCAGGGGACCUUCGGGCCUUGCGCUAUCAGAUGAGCCUAGGUCGGAUUAGCUAGUUGGUGAGGUAAUGGCUCACCAAGGCGACGAUCCGUAACUGGUCUGAGAGGAUGAUCAGUCACACUGGAACUGAGACACGGUCCAGACUCCUACGGGAGGCAGCAGUGGGGAAUAUUGGACAAUGGGCGAAAGCCUGAUCCAGCCAUGCCGCGUGUGUGAAGAAGGUCUUCGGAUUGUAAAGCACUUUAAGUUGGGAGGAAGGGCAUUAACCUAAUACGUUAGUGUUUUGACGUUACCGACAGAAUAAGCACCGGCUAACUUCGUGCCAGCAGCCGCGGUAAUACGAAGGGUGCAAGCGUUAAUCGGAAUUACUGGGCGUAAAGCGCACGCAGGC